UCGUUGUCCCGGCUGGCCGGGUUCUUCGUAAUGGUGUAAUGGUGCACCAUUACACCAUUAAUGGUGUAAUUACACCAUUAACGGUGCACGCGGCCCGCGGAGCGGAGCCGCGGGUGGAGCUCCGCCGGGCGCAGCACGAGGAGGGGGAUGACGACGACGGCGGCGGCAGGGUCUACUGCUGCUGCUGGAAGAGGAUGAGUGUGGCGGCGGCGGCGGCGUAGUUGGAGGAGCGAGGGGAGGGGAGGGCGAGGCUGGCGGAGACGGAGGGGAGGGAAGGGUUGACGGCGCGGAGCUCGUCGGGCUUGUGGGUGGACAC
RNAcentral lists this long non-coding RNA (316 nucleotides) under Ananas comosus (pineapple). RNAcentral's name for it is "long non-coding RNA (ACOM_LNC026231)". The record is from RNAcentral. Lineage: Eukaryota; Viridiplantae; Streptophyta; Magnoliopsida; Poales; Bromeliaceae.